This is a small nucleolar RNA of Octodon degus (degu), 101 nucleotides long. RefSeq annotates it as small nucleolar RNA U13. NCBI's taxonomy places the organism in Eukaryota, Metazoa, Chordata, Mammalia, Rodentia, Octodontidae. The transcript has a single exon. The record is from RefSeq and is a predicted model, not a curated record.
AUCCUUGGUUCAUAAACGUGAUGAGUGGGUGUUUGUGCCCUAUGGGUGAGGUGUGUCUAACUCAAGUCUUACUACAACGUGGGCACAGUACUCAUCUGAUG